Long non-coding RNA from Acanthopagrus latus (yellowfin seabream), 4461 nucleotides. RefSeq lists it as uncharacterized. NCBI's taxonomy places the organism in Eukaryota, Metazoa, Chordata, Actinopteri, Spariformes, Sparidae. The transcript is spliced from 6 exons. The record is from RefSeq and is a predicted model, not a curated record.
ACCAUGUCCAAAAUGGAUGCUUUUUAUGUAAUUGGGCAGGUAGAUUUGUUUGGGGUCAAUUCUGACCAUUGUGGCUACUUGUUCUACUACUUUUGGGUUGUUUCCUCAGACAAAAACAGGUUUUGUAUUAGUAAAACAGCCCGUUCUCUCAUCUGAGAGGUAUGAAUUAAACACUUCUGAGUUCAGCUCAACACGCAAUCACUGACAACUGAUGACCGUCACUGAUUUAAUGUUAUUACAGUUGAUUUCAUGACAAGAUAACACAUGACUAAUUUUAGUUUUCAGCCUAGUGUUCGCCAUAAGCUCAGAGUGUCAUGGGCAACACAUGACAAAUUGAUGCCACCACAGGAAUACAUCAUUGUUCCAUUUUAACCACAUGUUUUAAGUUUGAGCUCAUCAAAACACUUUAUCAAAAGGUGUGGCUUAGAAAAAAUUAAAUUUUAUAAAAAUACAAAAAAUUCUGGACUGGAACUUUUUGUCAUGCUAUACACAUAAUACAAUGUAUGUUACCUAAGAUACAUAGAAACAUUUGUAGUUUACAUUACAGAAGAAACAUGGUGAUUUAACCAAAACACGAUGGUUUCUUACACCUAACCACAUUGCGAGUGUGCAACAAAAGCCUGGUUACCUGCUGCUGCAACCUAAUCGACAGAAUAAACGUUAGCUGAGUACAUUUCUGCAAAACCACAGAUAAUGUUGCAAUAUUAUGUAUGUAUGUAUAUCUUUUGUCACGGUGCUGUCCUUUUGCGCUGGUUAGGUUUAGGCACAAAAAAACACUUGGUUAGGGUUAGGAAAACAUCUGAAGCCAAUGGUUUGCCCUAAAAUAAGUGUCUUUAUAAAUAUGGGCUACUUCACAUUAAAUCAUGGCAACUUGGCUGGUUUUAAGAGUCACUGGUAAUCAACUUACUCAGUCAUUUUGCUAUGACUAAUAAAAAUAAUCUUCCAAAUUGAAGCCAGUGGAGACUUACGGUUGGUACAACACCAGUGCUGCUGGCAUUGCAACGUCUUUGACCAGCAAUCUCACCUCAUUUAUCAUUUCUGUCAUAUAUUUGUUACAUGACGUAUGUUGCAUUUGUCUAGAGUCUAUUUAUGGCACAUGGCCUAUCAAUAAUCUCACAGCUUCUAAUGUAGCUGGUGUGAAAAAUGUGACUGUUACAGUUUAAAGAAAAGCUUUUUAUUAUCAGUUAUAGUAAUUACAUGUGACUAAAUUCCAACAAGCUGCAGGAAGCACUUUUCCACAUAUAUUUCACAUUUAAUCUAGUGUGGUAUUUUUUCUGUCUUUAUGUUUUUGGUUUUUUUUGAAAGGAUGAAACCCAACAAUAACAAUCCAGUGCUUUUACAAGGUGCCUCUAAUGAAUUUGUGAUCACCAGUCAGACUCUGGAGACUCUGGACUUCCAUUAACUGCUUCACUGCUGCUGCUGUAUUAAACAUCUCUGUACCGGGCUCUCUCAGAAGGGAAUUUCUUUCUUUUGUCAUAAGAUUAGACUCCGUUCCAGUGAUUACUCUGAGCUCAACACUCAACCUGCAGGUGAGAAUUAUGCCAGUGCAUAUCUUAGCAUAUUUAAGCCUGAAUAUUUUAAUGUAGAACAUUUCUAAUCACUGAAUAUUUUCAUGUCCUUGAUGUUGAUACCAUGAUGCUCAUGUUCCUGUGAGGCUGCCAGAAGCUACAGAGUAGGAUAUUAUACUAGGGAAAUAGGAAAUGGCAUACACCAUCCGCACACACCAUCACACACUUCAUUUUUGAUUCCUUGUAUCAUUUCUUCAUCCAAAUUUUCCUUGAUGGUCAAUCUCAAUAGUUAGAAAGACUAAUUUAUUGAGCACCAUUUAAUUAUCAAACAUAAACACAUACCACAGUUAAUGCUGUAAGUAGAUAAAUGCUGAUUUUAAAUAUAUGGGCUUUAAAUGCAGCAGUUUCAUGAAGGGGAUUGUGAUGCUCGGGCCACUGGAGAGUGAAAGACAAGGAAAUGAAGAUAAAAUAAAAUCGAGGUUAAGUAGAAGUUGAAGUGUUAGGGAUCAGUUUAAAGAUUAGAUUUUAAGUAUUGAUAUUGACUCCAUCUUGUCCAGCAAAGACUUUUAACUGAAAACAAAGUUAACUUUUGUUCACAUCAGAGGUUACUGUCUUUUUAUCUGCUUAAAAAAAAGGAGUGUUGGCAAAAAUCAGCCAGGAUACAGUUUCUUUAAAAGAUCUGAUUUCCAUUGCAUUCCUUCACCUUUUAUAGAGCACUUUAAAAUGCCUCUUUGUUUCAAAGUUGUCAGGCAAAAAAAUCUGCAGUGCCUGAAAUAACUUUUUCUUUUUAUUAAAGGAAAAAGACAAAAAAGAUAUACACAUCAGAAUAAUCAGUGUUUUUGUGUUUAACAUACAUUUUGGAGUUAUGUGUAAAGAUCUGAUUGAUUAGACUGUAAUUUCAAACACAUAAUAUUAAUAAUAUAGUAUAUCAAUAUCAAUGUUAUGGCUUAUCUUAAACUCAUUUCACACUGAUUAAUGAGAAACUAAAUGACAUCAACAAAAGUAGGAAUAGAACAAUAAUCACAAAGAAUAGAAGAAAAGAACAAAGAAAAGAAUGUCUUUGAUUAAGAUGACGGGUUGAGAAAUCAGUGUCUGUAACCCAGAUUCUAGUCAUCAUGCAAUAAAAAUUCUCUGUUAUUAAAUACACUCAGGUGUGCAUGUUGUGUAGUACAGAGUAGCUCACACCUGUUUCUGGUUGGAAGUUUGGGUACUCUGUAUGGUGAGGAGGCUGCCAAGCAUUGACUGCUGUCUGAGAUUCGAUUUGUUGACAGUCCACCUCACAUAAUGAAUAUCAACAUCCUGGAAAAGGCCGCAGGGGCCCAUUUAUCAUGAAACGUCACCAAGGAGCUCAAUAACCUAUUUAUAAAACGAGGGGGCUGGGAGAAAACUUUGCUGCUGUCGGCUCUCACCAGGGACCUUGAUGCAAUGCCACCGUUCACAAGCUGCCAAUUACUGAUUUCAGAAGAAAGUAAGAAACAAUGCAAAGAUCAAGGCUCCAUGCACCAGUGGCUCUGUCACAUCUUCUUCCAGUUUGAAUGUCAACCGAGUAGUACAAAGUUAGCCUCCAGCUAUCCCACUGCUCAAUCGAGUAGGAGCAAGAGUGGGAGUAACCUCCUGAUUCUUCUCAAAGCGGGACCAACACAGAAUCGCCUUGCAAAUAUUCUCUUUGAUCUGACCGGCACGGCACAGGUUGACUGGGAUCCAGACGGGCAUUAGACGACAAAGGGAUAUGAGAGAGGACAAGCCACAUUCAUGCGAAUGAGAGAGCCUUCCAAGCGUGGGCGUCUGCUGGAAGUGAAGUAAUCCUCCCUGGUCUCAGAAUCCAAAUAGACCUUACAUGAAAGGAAAGUGCAAUUACCCAGCCUUAUUCCAGAUCAAUUGGACGCCAUCACCAAUAACUGUUGAGCUCUUUCUCCUCAUUCUGACUCCAUGGGACCAUGUUAGCUCUUUUUUUUUGUUUCUGGGACACUGUGAGAGAAGUUGCAGCUGAAAACCAAUCACACAACAGACACACACAUGCAUGUGGUUGAUGCAUGUUUCCAGCCCCUCCCACUCACAACAACUCACAGUGAACACCUGUGCGUCGAGGCAACACAAGAAAAUGAGCGGCCUGGCUAGAGUAACCGAGUGCAAGGCACUGACAAAGACGAAGAAACUGAACCAAAGAAAGGUCACACCACUUUGGUUAUGUAGAACUACCUGAAGUCUGACAAAGGACAGACCAGCAUUAGGUGCAAAAUGUGUUGGCAACCACCACCAACCUCUUCCAUCAUCUCAACAGGUAGCGUCCCAAACAGAACUCUGAAAGCAUCAGUUUACGCUAUCAGCCUCCCAGACCAGCCCUGCUGCUUCUACUAGUAAAACUUCACUUCGACAACCAACUCGCUGCUGCUUUUUUUACCAAAGUGAUACAAACACACAACCAGCGCAAUUGCGUACUGUUUCGCUAAAGAUAUGAUGUCUAUAAGCACAGUUUAAAAACAGGGCUGCAAGAAGCUAAUGACUGUCAUGGAUGCCAAGUACACUCUGCCAAACAUCAGCCCCUCAGCUGUACACAGAGUGGAGGGUACAGGUGGAGCAGCAGCUCAGACAUGAUGUGAGAUCGGAUCAUCGUCAUCCUGCUUAUGCAAGGAACCCAUCGCAAACUCUAAAUUGCUGAAUCCAAGACCUGCCCAUCGAAGGUUUCUGACAGAGAACAAGAUCAAACAUUAACACGUUGGAUAAAUUCUCCAAUAUUGUCUUUUUUCUUAUAAAGACUAGACACUGCAGGUUUGACUGCAUUGCCCAAGAGGGACGUGCUUGAGACUGGAGCCAAACGAACGGAGUUACAUGUCUGAUGUAAAAGACAGGUUAAGAGAGGAUUAUGAGCAUAAACAACGAAAACAGCGUGAAAACCAUGAGAUAUACUCGUUUUCAGACAAGAUAUAUAUAAACGUCAAUAUAGAACAUUGAA